This is an RNA transcript of Octodon degus (degu), 475 nucleotides long. It is a transcript of the gene named U1 small nuclear ribonucleoprotein C pseudogene, with no coding region annotated. The transcript has 2 exons. Lineage: Eukaryota; Metazoa; Chordata; Mammalia; Rodentia; Octodontidae. The record is from RefSeq and is a predicted model, not a curated record.
AGGAGCCGCCAACGGCCUGUAGAGCAACAUGCCUAAGUUUUAUUGUGACUACUGCGAUACGUACCUCACCCAUGACUCUCCGUCUGUGAGAAAGACACACUGCAGUGGUAGGAAACAUAAAGAGAAUGUGAAAGACUACUACCAGAAAUGGAUGGAAGAGCAAGCUCAGAGCCUGAUUGACAAAACAACGGCUGCAUUUCAACAAGAAAAGAUACCUCCUACUCCAUUCUCCGCUCCUCCCCCCGCCGGGGCUAUGAUCCCACCUCCACCCAGCCUUCCUGGUCCUCCUCGCCCUGGUAUGAUGCCAGCACCUCACAUGGGAGGCCCUCCCAUGAUGCCAAUGAUGGGCCCCCCACCUCCGGGGAUGAUGCCAGUGGGACCUGCUCCUGGAAUGAGACCACCCAUGGGAGGCCACAUAGUUGAUGUGUUGAAACCUGGACAGCAGUAUGGCAGUGUGGGAAGUGGAACCUACUAG